GACGAACGCUGGCGGCGUGCUUAACACAUGCAGGUCGAACGGAAAGGCCCUGCUUUUGUGGGGUGCUCGAGUGGCGAACGGGUGAGUAACACGUGAGUAACCUGCCCUUGACUUUGGGAUAACUUCAGGAAACUGGGGCUAAUACCGGAUAGGAGCUCCUGCUGCAUGGUGGGGGUUGGAAAGUUUCGGCGGUUGGGGAUGGACUCGCGGCUUAUCAGCUUGUUGGUGGGGUAGUGGCUUACCAAGGCUUUGACGGGUAGCCGGCCUGAGAGGGUGACCGGCCACAUUGGGACUGAGAUACGGCCCAGACUCCUACGGGAGGCAGCAGUGGGGAAUAUUGCACAAUGGGCGGAAGCCUGAUGCAGCAACGCCGCGUGCGGGAUGACGGCCUUCGGGUUGUAAGCCGCUUUCGCCUGUGACGAAGCGUGAGUGACGGUAAUGGGUAAAGAAGCACCGGCUAACUACGUG
This 468-nucleotide ribosomal RNA is filed under the name uncultured bacterium. RNAcentral's name for it is "partial 16S ribosomal RNA". It matches the Rfam family "Bacterial small subunit ribosomal RNA", at positions 28 to 507 of the family's 1533-position model. The record is from RNAcentral.